GAAACUUAUUCAGUUAAAAAUCUUUAAUUUACAGAUGAUUAUUCAGAAACUGUCGAGUGAAGAGACGUCUCUCUGUCCAAUCACAGCUCAGUAUUUCCUCUGUCAGCAGAUGAAGUUUCUCUGUCUGUUCUUUGUCUUCGCAGCAGAAAUGUCAUGACUCUGGUCUUUUUGCUUCUUUUAUGAGAAAGAUUUUGUCAUCAGUUCAGUCCGGAUUUAAGUUUCUGUGCUUGCCUCGGUCUUCGUCGGCUCGUUGUUCGAUGUCUCCCUCAUUCCCUCAACAUUUUCCACCUGCUCCUUUAACCAUCACAAGGAAAGUGAACAGAGACGUUUUGGCUGAAUUCAGCUGAGGCGCAGAGUUUCCACCAAUCAGAGCGAGGCCGGAUCCAUUGCAGAGACCAGCUUCCAUAGAAGGAGUGGCUCCCUCUCUGGUGGACGGGGAUUAUUUCGGGGGUUGUGAUUUAUCUUUGAAUGUCUCUGUUACUCGGCCUCAGUCUCUAAAAACAGCAGAAUCAGAGUUAUGAGUGAUUCAUGAACCACAGAGAUAAAAAUGGCAGCGUGUCCCUUUAAAUUUCACAUUCCUGGAAUCACAGCUGUGACCGGAGGAGACGACUCAACAACGUUCAUUCAUGACGACGAACAUUCACUGUUUGAUUCUGACAGUUUAUUAUGGAGCAGAGGCUCAACAAUCAUAAACUGUUUUCAGAUGAAAGUUUCACUU
Molecule: non-coding RNA, 718 nt
Organism: Paralichthys olivaceus (Japanese flounder)
Lineage: Eukaryota; Metazoa; Chordata; Actinopteri; Pleuronectiformes; Paralichthyidae
Source: RefSeq, a predicted model, not a curated record